Musa acuminata AAA Group (dessert banana) is the source of this 1411-nucleotide long non-coding RNA. RefSeq lists it as uncharacterized. The record is from RefSeq and is a predicted model, not a curated record. NCBI's taxonomy places the organism in Eukaryota, Viridiplantae, Streptophyta, Magnoliopsida, Zingiberales, Musaceae. The transcript is spliced from 3 exons.
CUCGUCGAGGGCAUCUUAUCAAGAACACAAAUCUCAACGCAACAGGGAACGAGAAGCGAGAGAUCGCAGCUCUCAAAGCAAAGCGAUGCAAUGCAACGCAACAUCAUCUUCUUUCGAUACCUAGGAGGCAAGAGGAAGAGAAGACAAGAGAGGGGAUGGGGAUGGGGAGGAUCGCACCGUUGAAGAAGCCUCACGCGUCGACCGCCCGGCCCCACCAGGUCGGAUCUGUCGCGCCCGCCUGCCAACGCCUCUGGUCCUUUUCGCCAGUUCUCGCCCUUCUCCCAGUACCCGAGGGUCGUUGUUCUUCUCCUUUGGUCGUGACAAUUGUAGCCGUCGGAUGGGAUCCAUAAGUUGGUUUUCGGCGGCCUGAUGAGCGCUGAGGAGGACGGCGUGGUAAUGCAACAUUAGGUUUCGGAGACUUGUACAGGUCCCAAGUUAAAAGAAAUGACUGGAAAGUGGCAUCUUUGUAGUUCACAACAUUGGUGAUCAACUAGAAUCAGAGAAUUCUUUCUCGACUCCUAGCGAUUGGACAGAUUCACGAAUCAGAUAUUAUUCCCUAUUAAGCCUGGAGUUCUGGUAUUCCACAAAAGUUAAGACAUCUGAGUCCUGUUUGAAGAAAACUAGAAAAGCAGAUCCACAAGUCAUCCUGUUCCAGAAGUUAGAUAUUCUUCCUACUGCCGGUCUAAACAAUUUCUUGUUUUGUGAAGAAACUGUGGUCGAGACUUCUGAUUAAAUCCAUGCUCUGAAGAUACCAGAACUCACAGGCAAUGAUCUCUUCAAAGAUGUUGCACCACCAGGAUUUAUAGAAACGACAAGAAGCACGACAAAGCUUAAAUAAACGAGUGAUAAUGAUUUUCAAUGACAGGAAGCAUCCUCUUCAAGCUGUGGUGCCUGCAAACCUCCCGGUGGUGAAAGCGGUAUGACACUAGUUUGAAGUAUCUUUUCUGGCACAGUCGUUUAUGGUAGCUUCUUGACAGCAUUCGGACCAGCUGAGGGAUCUCCCUCUCUUAAUGCACUUUGACCGCAUGCUGUGUUCUGAUGUUAUCCUGAUAUGAUGAUGUCCUGCUUAGAUAAUCUGUGUUCCGAACGAACUUGUAUUUAUUUGUAUUUGAUAUAAAUUGUUAGCACGGUGAACAACUCUCUUGAUCGUGUGUGGCUCAAAUUACAUGAAGGCAUGUCCGGUGAGCAAACUAUAUUUCUGAUGAUAAGAAUUACAGUUCUCCAGAUGGUUGGCGCUGGCCAUGGUGAAAUGAUCUUGCGCUACUUUGCGGCCCAUACCCAGCAGUCAUCGUGGUGCUCUACAAAUGCAAAGCAUCGACCUCCAGGAUGAUAAUGUCAUAUAUGUAUGGUGUGACUUGAAUACCUUGAUGGUCUGUCUCGUCUCGCCCUCAUCAUUUUAUCUGCUUCUUGA